This is a long non-coding RNA of Mustela lutreola (European mink), 393 nucleotides long. RefSeq lists it as uncharacterized. Lineage: Eukaryota; Metazoa; Chordata; Mammalia; Carnivora; Mustelidae. The transcript has 3 exons. The record is from RefSeq and is a predicted model, not a curated record.
UAGCUGUGUGAAGGCCUGGCUCCGAGAAAGAGACAGGAAACUGAAUUCAAGAAUGGCCCCCACCUGGCCUGCUAGCCCUGUUCAGGUCUGCGUGGGCAGUGAUCUCCAUCCUGUGGUCCCUGGGUCCAUCGCACACCUCGGAGAUUGAUAAGAUUUCCCUUAAGUUGAGUAUUUCCGGCUUGCAUCUCGAACCGUUGCCCGCUGCCAGAAGCCCACACGGCUGCUUUCUCAUCUGUGGGAAACUCCUGACCCUCGGUUCUCCACUGGAUACCAGGUUUGGGUCCUCACCAUACACCAGCAGGAUCAAGAUGUUCUCUGUGGAACAAAGAGGGAAACAGAGGCUCAGAGGUGGCAAGGGAAGGAGCUGAGCCCUCAACUACCUCCAAACGCAGG